ACCUAACCGAGCGGGGUUGCGCAGGGCGGCGUGGGUCCGACUAGACGACGUCAACGCACGCGCGUGGCACAGCGCAGCGCGGCGCGGCGCCCGCGGUGGACUUUGGGAGCCUUGGUCAUCUCCAUCCAGUGCGUGCGGGACGGUGCGGGGCGGUGCGGGACGCGCGGCGCGAGGACUUUGGCGCCGCGGGAUGGCCUCCCGGGCCGAGGCCGGCCGAGGCGGCCGUCGAGGCGUCCGUCGAGGCGCCAACCGCGACCUUUCGAGGCCAAGAAGACCGUGACGGUGGUGGAUUGCUGUGAUUUCCGUGUGACAUAUUGCUCGGCAAAUGCCAGACCAGUCCGCCCGGACGAGUGCAGUGUCAGUGUGUGCGUGGCUCUCGACGCGGCCCUCGACGGGGCCGGUGUGACUGUGCCGGCUUGCUGACUCGAGUUUGACCUGCUGCUCUGCCUGCCGCCCUGCUUAAGGCCUUACCGGCCGCGGGACAAACCCCAGGAGGGUGACGUUGUGGACCAUUGUGACAAGACAAUCAAAGCAAGGACACGCGAGAGCUACAAGACCAAAGUGAGGGUCCGGGUGGGGCAUGGCGAUGCCGCGGCCGCGUCGCGGAGCGUCGUGCUGUGGGCCGCGACGACGCCCGCCAACCUCGACGCCGACCGCGCCGCCAAUGCCGCCUUC
Molecule: long non-coding RNA, 675 nt
Organism: Thrips palmi
Lineage: Eukaryota; Metazoa; Arthropoda; Insecta; Thysanoptera; Thripidae
Exons: 3
Source: RefSeq, a predicted model, not a curated record